This 515-nucleotide ribosomal RNA is filed under the name uncultured bacterium. RNAcentral's name for it is "partial 16S ribosomal RNA". It matches the Rfam family "Bacterial small subunit ribosomal RNA", at positions 28 to 523 of the family's 1533-position model. The record is from RNAcentral.
GAUGAACGCUGGCGGCGUGCCUAAUACAUGCAAGUCGAGCGAAUGGAUUAAGAGCUUGCUCUUAUGAAGUUAGCGGCGGACGGGUGAGUAACACGUGGGUAACCUGCCCAUAAGACUGGGAUAACUCCGGGAAACCGGGGCUAAUACCGGAUAACAUUUUGAACCGCAUGGUUCGAAAUUGAAAGGCGGCUUCGGCUGUCACUUAUGGAUGGACCCGCGUCGCAUUGGCUAGUUGGUGAGGUAACGGCUCAACAAGGCAACGAUGCGUAGCCGACCUGAGAGGGUGAUCGGCCACACUGGGACUGAGACACGGCCCAGACUCCUACGGGAGGCAGCAGUAGGGAAUCUUCUGCAAUGGACGAAAGUCUGACGGAGCAACGCCGCGUGAGUGAUGAGGGCUUUCGGGUCGUAAAACUCUGUUGUUAGGGAAGAACAAGUGCUAGUUGAAUAAGCUGGCACCUUGACGGUACCUAACCAGAAAGCCACGGCUAACUACGUGCCAGCCGCCGCUGUAA